CUCCCUCUCUCUCUCUCCUCUCCUGCGACGACGAGGCGAGCGAGACGACUCUUAUCUACGCCCGCCUCCCUCCCCCACACACACCUUGCUCGGGGCAUCGGUGACGUCUCGCCGUAGCGGGGGCGGCCUCGCCUCGCGUUGGCUGCUGGUGGUGAGGAUGGAUGGACGGAUUUGCCCCUGCGCCAAGGGAGGACUCGUUCGGUACUCCCGUGGACUUUUCAAGGUCAAGGAACACGCUGAUAUUAAUAGGGGUCUCUACGUAAAUAUUAAACUGGGGGUGUCCUCUCGUGAAAACUGCACAGGUUGCCAAUCGGCCUACUGAGAGUACCUACGGUACCAAAAAAAAAAUAGGUGUAGAAAACACCUCAAUCGGCCUACUGAGAGUACAUGAAAUGUGUGGUAACAAAAAAAUUAUGUGUACAAGUGUAGAAAUCCCAUAGAAAACAUCUCAAGUGGUUUCAACCAGAGGGAGUCUAGCACCCACACGUCCAGAUAUUAGCUUCUGUAUGAUGCCCUUGGGGCUGGCGGUGAUGCAAAAGAUGGGUAAGGAUGUAUUCACAAAAAAAAAGAUGGGUGAGGAUGAUAGCGGCGACAUUAGAGUACAGGAGCACAUGCGUUUUAGGAUAGAGCGUUUGGGCACGGAUUUCAGCGAUGUGGAGCUCGUCGGCAGCGUGCAGAAGGCAACGCUGCAUGGAGCUAGUUGAAAACGCGUUUCGGGAUGGAGCCGGAUGUCCAGGGCCUAUCAUUAUUAUUUCAAUUAAUAAGUAGAUUUAUUGUGAGUGAAAGUUAGAUUUUCCACCAUACCUUGUGGUCAACCGAUCCUAGCCGGUGCCGAGACGCCUAGACACGACCAAUGACAAGCUUAUGGUAGAAAUGAUGACCUGUAAGCAUGUCUGGAGGUAGUUGAAUACAUUGGCAUUUCUCAGAUCAAGCUAGAGACAUUCGUGCCAA
Molecule: long non-coding RNA, 951 nt
Organism: Sorghum bicolor (sorghum)
Lineage: Eukaryota; Viridiplantae; Streptophyta; Magnoliopsida; Poales; Poaceae
Exons: 2
Source: RefSeq, a predicted model, not a curated record